Drosophila nasuta is the source of this 1079-nucleotide long non-coding RNA. RefSeq lists it as uncharacterized. The transcript has 5 exons. The record is from RefSeq and is a predicted model, not a curated record. NCBI's taxonomy places the organism in Eukaryota, Metazoa, Arthropoda, Insecta, Diptera, Drosophilidae.
UCUCAUCAUGGCUAACAUGUAGCCAUCGCGCGGCUGCCCCGCUUGUCUCGUCUGGGAUCUGCGCCGAAUUGGAGCGUCGUCUGUGUUCGCAUUGUUGGAUGAACAAUGCGAGUGUAUUGCACUUUCCCGUUGGUGGUAAUGUGAGGCAGCAAGUCAUCUGGCUGCGUGUAGUGGCCACCACUACAGUGUGUGCAGUGAUACCGUGGGAUGUGAGGCAGCGAAUCAUCUGCCCCAGGUUGGUUGCUGCAUAUGGUGAUGCGUGUAGUGAUGUUGUCGCCGUCUCUGAGAGUGAGCAAGCGAGCUGCACUUGCCCGUUGGUGGAUUUGUGAUGCAGCAAGUCGUCUUCCCCAGGUUGGUUGCUGCGUGAAGUGGUGCGUGCGGUGUACAUCGCCGCCAUCUAUGUGAGUGGGCUGGGCACUGCGCCACAAGUGCUUCGUGGGACAGUGUACGUGCAUCAGUUUUAUAUGUGAGUGGAUUGCGGGGUCAGUUGCCGAUGGCCUUUUGUUGCCAAGCGAGAAGUCUGUUGCUCCAUCUGUAGCCAAAAUGUAACAGGACAAUCGGUGGUGACUGGAGAAAUGCUUCCUUGAAUGGCUGGAGUGUUAGGUGCUUAACUUCCGCGCGUACGAGAGUGGCAGUGCCACAUUUUCUGUGCGAAUGUGGAUAGAUUGCAGCAUACGUUUUGGAUUCUGACUCAUUUAAGGUAUAUGGAUUGGCUGUAGUACUAGUUUCGAUUGUCAUCUUAAUAUGGUUUUCUUUUCUUUUCAUGUAUGGCUUCGUUUGUUCCAUUUGUUGCUGAGCGUCGCUGGCAUUCCAGAAUGCGAUUUUAAAAGAGUCGUCAUUCUGGUUGCCAGUACGAGAGGCAAUUGUGCGAUUGGUUGGGGCUGAAUUUGGAUAUCUUCUUUCUGGAUUGCGCCUACUCAUAUUGUGUUUUGAAAUCGUCUAGAAGAUUUUGCAGCUCCAUAGAGAUGUCUGCACUUUCAUCUGUGACCUGGUGCUGUACUGGUGUUGUUUGUAUUUGUUGAACGAUUUUAUUUCCUUUGUGCAUUGAAAUAAAAUCGGAUAUAAUAUUGAACAAAUAA